GUAUUAAGUUGCAUAAACGCAAGUGCCAUUCUAAGUCCAUACGUUUAUAAAGAGGACGCGGGGGAAAACCCCACGCAGAGGUGCACAAAGGUGUAGUGGAAAGGCGCAAUCCCACCGUGCACAUGCAACCCCCCUAGGAAGGAUGCCAGCGACAGACAGAAUAUGCGUUUUGCUUUCGUUAAUGAUCCUUCCGCAGGUUCACCUACGGAAA
Molecule: unclassified non-coding RNA, 211 nt
Filed under: uncultured fungus
Lineage: Eukaryota; Fungi
Description: sequence contains ITS1
Source: RNAcentral